This 465-nucleotide ribosomal RNA is filed under the name uncultured bacterium. Its description in RNAcentral is "partial 16S ribosomal RNA". It matches the Rfam family "Bacterial small subunit ribosomal RNA", at positions 338 to 795 of the family's 1533-position model. The record is from RNAcentral.
CCUACGGGAGGCAGCAGUGGGGAAUAUUGCGCAAUGGGCGAAAGCCUGACGCAGCGACGCCGCGUGAGGGAUGAAGGUCUUCGGAUCGUAAACCUCUGUCAGCAGGGAAGAACGGUCACUGUGCUAAUCAGCAGUGAAUUGACGGUACCUGCAAAGGAAGCACCGGCUAACUCCGUGCCAGCAGCCGCGGUAAUACGGAGGGUGCGAGCGUUAAUCGGAAUUACUGGGCGUAAAGCGCUCGUAGGCGGUAUGUCAAGUCAAGGGUGAAAUCCCCGCGCUCAACGUGGGAACUGCCUUUGAAACUGGCAAACUGGAGUGUGGGAGAGGAUAGUGGAAUUACAGGUGUAGGAGUGAAAUGCGUAGAUAUCUGGAGGAACAUCAGUGGCGAAGGCGACUAUCUGGCACAUAACUGACGCUGAGGAGCGAAAGCGUGGGUAGCAAACAGGAUUAGAUACCCUUGUAGUC